This is a long non-coding RNA of Drosophila sulfurigaster albostrigata, 475 nucleotides long. RefSeq lists it as uncharacterized. The record is from RefSeq and is a predicted model, not a curated record. The transcript is spliced from 5 exons. Lineage: Eukaryota; Metazoa; Arthropoda; Insecta; Diptera; Drosophilidae.
UUUACUUUAGAAUCAAAGGUGCAGCACUUUUAUAUUGAGUUAUGUUUUUAUUAUUUUAAUAUAUUUAAUAUGUUAUGGUUGAAUUUGUUAUUAUUUUUUUUAUUUUUUUGUUUUUAGGUACGAGGUGGCACGAGUGCCCAUUGAUGUGGCUGUUCAGAGGAAGAAGGAGCAUGCAACGAGUGCAGGCACCGGAUGAGUAGAAGUGGUGUGAGUAUAAUAUGGUGUGUUAGAGCUGGUGUGCUGGAGCAGUGGACCAGAAGAGGUGCGGGAUUAUAUGCAGUACAACGAGACAGCGAUUGAACCAAUGUUUCAUACGUAAGGUGGUGUGUUAGAGCGAUGGGCCGGAGGAGGCGUAUGAUAAAAUGGUGUAUUAGCGAAUAGUGAAUGAAAUGUACCAAGCGUAAUUAUUAAUUGAGAGCUACAGCAAACUGCUCAAAUAAAUUUGAAAGAUGAAUAUGAGAAGACAGUUCUAUUA